This 253-nucleotide ribosomal RNA is filed under the name uncultured bacterium. RNAcentral's name for it is "partial 16S ribosomal RNA". It matches the Rfam family "Bacterial small subunit ribosomal RNA", at positions 524 to 776 of the family's 1533-position model. The record is from RNAcentral.
GACGGAGGAUGCAAGCGUUAUCCGGAAUUAUUGGGCGUAAAGCGUCCGCAGGUGGCUGUUCAAGUCUGCUGUCAAAGCGCAGAGCUUAACUCUGUACAGGCGGUGGAAACUGAAGAGCUAGAGUAUGGUAGGGGUAGAGGGAAUUCCUGGUGUAGCGGUGAAAUGCGCAGAUAUCAGGAGGAACACCAGUGGCGAAGGCGGUGCUCUGGGCCGGAACUGACGCUGAGGAGCGAAAGCGUGGGGAGCAAACAGG